Long non-coding RNA from Rhea pennata, 356 nucleotides. RefSeq lists it as uncharacterized. The record is from RefSeq and is a predicted model, not a curated record. The transcript is spliced from 3 exons. Lineage: Eukaryota; Metazoa; Chordata; Aves; Rheiformes; Rheidae.
CACCGCCCCCCCGGCCGCCGCUGCCGCUGGAGCGCCGCGGGGAGGCGGCGGGGGCGGUGCUGUGCCUGCACGCUUUGAUUUCGGCAGGCAGAAAAGAUGGACCCUUUGGUCGGCGUGCCCUGAAGCCUCUGUCAGUGCCCGCGAAGUUAACAAGGCUUGUAAUGUCGUAGGAGUGAGCCUUCCUCACGUUUCACUUCAGGGCUCAGUGAAGCUCUGGUUUGUGUCUUCAGCUCUCCUGAAUGAGUGCUCCAGCAUCAACAGGUGUUAACGCUUGCGAUAGCGUAUGCGACCCCUUGAAGGCUUUCAUUUUGCUUGUAUUUCCUUCAUAAGUGCAAUGAAAAGGACUUUAAUUUCUC